This is a long non-coding RNA of Daucus carota subsp. sativus, 567 nucleotides long. RefSeq lists it as uncharacterized. The transcript has 2 exons. The record is from RefSeq and is a predicted model, not a curated record. Lineage: Eukaryota; Viridiplantae; Streptophyta; Magnoliopsida; Apiales; Apiaceae.
UUAAAAUGAGAAUUAAUUAUUCAAAAUACAGAUUCUUAUGAAAUAAAUGACUACUAAAUUAAAAAUAAUAAUAUAUUCUUUUUUUUUUCCCUAAACCGGGACUUGAGCCUAAUUCGGUGUUUCCUGCUCCUCUAUAUAACCCCGUCAAGUCCAAUUUUAAGAGCAACCCAAGUAAGAGUAGGAAAUUUAUAUUUCCACCGGAACAGAGCUAGAUUGUUGGCCAUGGAAGCCGAAAAGAAGGAGAAUGCAGCAGCAGAAAAAGGCAAGAGCACAAGCAAUGUGAAAGAGCAAGAUGAAGCAGCUUUCAAGAAAUGUAUGGAGGAAAACAAAGGAGAUAGUUCCAAAUGCAGGCCAAAGAUUGAAGCUUUCGAGUCUUCUUUGCCUUUCAAGCCGCUCUUUCCGUUGAUGUUGAAGAGUGGAUCAUUGACUGAUGUCUGAUUUUAGAUUUCGGGAAAUUGUUGAUUCAAUGAUGAACUCUUGUGUGAUCGAGUUGAUCCAACUUUGCUUAUUUAUGUAAUACAGUAGUAAAUUUCUUUGAAAAGUUCUCAAUGUGACUUUGGUUAUCUA